This 111-nucleotide ribosomal RNA is filed under the name Erebia pronoe. RNAcentral's name for it is "partial 16S ribosomal RNA". The record is from RNAcentral. Lineage: Eukaryota; Metazoa; Arthropoda; Insecta; Lepidoptera; Nymphalidae.
AGCCAGGUUGGUUUCUAUCUUUAGAGAAAUAAAAUAUUUUAGUACGAAAGGAUCAAAUAUUUGAAAUAAUUUUAAUAAAUGAAUAUUAUUAAUUUAAUUAAAUAAAAUUAU